Molecule: unclassified non-coding RNA, 228 nt
Filed under: Glomeraceae sp.
Lineage: Eukaryota; Fungi; Glomeromycota; Glomeromycetes; Glomerales; Glomeraceae
Description: partial contains 5.8S ribosomal RNA and internal transcribed spacer 2
Rfam family: 5.8S ribosomal RNA (bases 1-65)
Source: RNAcentral
GUGAAUCAUCGAAUCUUUGAACGCAAAUUGCACUCUUUUCGGAGAGUAUGCCUGUUUGAGGGUCAGUAUUAAUAAAAUCGGUGUUGCUUUUUUGUGACGUUCCGGAGAUUGGGCUACCUUUAACUUUCGGGUUUAAGAGGCUUAAAAUUGAUCUUUUUUGCGCACUUUUAGACGUACAUAAAUUUUUUUAUGUCUUAUUUUGUGGCCAAUUUAUUUAUUGGGUGUGAU